This 190-nucleotide unclassified non-coding RNA is filed under the name rhizosphere metagenome. RNAcentral's name for it is "partial ribosomal RNA internal transcribed spacer region". The record is from RNAcentral.
GUAGGUGAACCUGCGGAAGGAUCAUUAACAUGAUAUAGUAUUUUCACCCCACUUUUCGUACGAAUCUUAAUGGAUUUUCUUCUACUUUUUCAUUUUUUACCCCCUUCUUUUUUACAAAUCAUCUAGACUGAUAUUAUACACAUAAUCAAUAACGCUAAAACAACUCUUAGCAACGGAUAUCUUGGCUCUC